RNAcentral lists this long non-coding RNA (5215 nucleotides) under Canis lupus familiaris (dog). RNAcentral describes it as "lncRNA (ENSCAFG00040000101.1)". The record is from RNAcentral. Lineage: Eukaryota; Metazoa; Chordata; Mammalia; Carnivora; Canidae.
AUUAUAUUUGUUACAAGAAGAUUAUGUCUGAAAAGGAAUCAUAUUUUUUUUUAUAAAAUAGUCAUUCCUUGUUUAGAAAGUUUAUUUUGGCAACUAUACUUUAAAUAUCUGAAUAUUCAAAAAUGUCUUAAUGCUUCUAUAUAUCAUGGGCUUGUUUUGCUAAUAUGCAGUAUACAAUGUAUCCAGAGGACAAUAUUUAUUUAUUUAUUUUUAAAUAUUAUUUAUUUAUUCAUGAGAGACACAGAGAGAGAGAGGCAAAGACACAGGCAGAGGGAGAAGCAGGCUCCAUUCAGGGAGCCCGAUGUGGGACUCGAUCCCAGGACCCUGGGAUCACGCCCUGAUCUGAAGGCAGACACUCAACCACUGAGCCACUCAGGUGCCCCAGAGAAGACAAUAUUUAAAGAACAUUUUGGGGCGAAGAAGGAAUUUCUCUUUGUUGUGGGAAAGACAUGCAGGAGAUAAAAAACAAGAAUAGAAAAAUUCAUGGGAACCAAGCAUGGAGGGCCAACUAUCUGGGCAACUGGAAUGGAAUUGUGGUCACUGAGGCUCCUGGAAAUGACUGCUGCGCCCCUGUGGUAAGUGUGGGAAGCUACUGUCCUGACAGAAAAGCAUUUCAUCCUAGACACAAAACGCUAUAUCAUUCCCUUGGAUUAGAGUGAUAGAUGGCUUUCAAGGGGAAAAUAAAAGACAUACUCACGUGGAUGCUUCAGGUGAUGAUUCUGUCUUAGGUAUAGGCUCAACGUCACCAAGAGAAAAGUACAGUUUAAUCUGGAAGCUGUACUCGAUAAAUUCCCAUUAAUUGCAUGAGAAUCUAAAUGUUAAAAGAAUUACAAUUAUUAAAAAUAAAGUUACACCCCUCUAUUGCAUCAUUACCUAUUCUCUUACUCUGCUCUUCUUCAUAUAAUUUAUUACUACUGACAUCAUAUUAUUAUGUGUGUUUUAGUGUGUUUGCUAUAUUUCCCACUGGCUACAAAUUGCAUAGGGUAGGGACUCUGCUUUUCUCACUGCUGUAUUCUUAACUCCUAAGAGAGUGAUGGAUAUUUGAUAAAUAUUGACUGAUAUUAUAAAUAAAUCUAUAUUGGCAGUCAAGAGACUUGAGUCAAGGAGAGCAAUUAAGUGUUUAUCAAGUUGAUAAACUUGACUUUGAAGAGAUGAAAGAAAGAGAAAAGAGAUAUUCACUAUUUUGAAGAAUGAACAAGACUUGAUGACUCACAGAAUGUGGCUGUAGGGAGAGAAGGAGAAAUCUAAACUUGCUAAGACUUCAAGGUUAUGUAUGUGGAGGCAGAUGGUAGUGUUACAGAAAAUGGGGCAGUCAUUUGGAAAGUACACUUUGGCUAGAUAACAGGUUAAGCUCUUGACAGUCUGAGUGGGUGAGGGACAGUUAGAGAUCUCUGAUUAUAGUCCAGGAGGCAGGACAGGAUUGCCAACUUAGCUUUUUGGUAGACAUGAUAGCUGAGCCGUGGGUUUAGAUAAGAUUUCUGUGGGACAAACUCUAGAUGCAGUGAGAAAAGGAACAAAAGACUAAACCUUAUAGUUACAUAAGCCACCCUUGAAACUGAUCUUAAGCACUAUGACCUAUUCAUAAUUUAUGAAUCCAUUCACACUUGGCUGUUGAGCCCCAGCUAUGAGUGCUCUGAGGGACUCACAAACUAGCAGGGAAAGCUAGCAAAAAGAAAAGACUUACACACAUGACCCAUCAAGAUGCAUCAGCCACUCCAGCUCCAGCCAACUCUCUGAACCUAGUGUUGCCAGAUCUUAGGAUCUCUUAAGUCAAGUUUUAUGUGAGAAUUCCUAAUAUAGGACAUUGAUUAAAAUAUGUGGACCAAACAAAGCAUUUUUUGCUAUCCAGAUAUAAUUUAUAUCCACCUUUAUUAUAAACCCAAUCAAGAAGAGAUUCUGCUAUUUCCCUUACCCCUCAAAUUGCACAAUCUCAAGCAAGGAUGCUUUUAAUCCUGUGAGGAUUGUAUUAAAUAAUUUGGUAGGGACAGAUGAUUUAGGAAGGCUAUUUUAUAGUGGAAGAUAGGACCACUCUUUUUAAUAGGUCUACAUUUAUUUAUUUAUUUAUUUAUUUAUUUAUUUAUUUAUCACAUGCUUAAAGAGCUCAUACUAUGGGGUAGGAACUCAGCAUAUAUUGGUGAGCAAAUUAGAUAAUCUACAUUUUGUUUAGGCAAAUUUCAUCAGGUGGGAAAGGAAUUAGAAUCAUUACCAGUGGAAGAAGAGGAACUCUAGCAACUAAGAUAAAUAACUCUGGAUGAAACUGCUUUAAAGAUUAUUUAUUUAUUUAUUCAUGAGAGACACAGAGAGAGAGAGAGAGAGAGAGAGAGAGGUGGGCAGAGACACAGGCAGAGGGAGAAGCAGGCUCCAUGCAGGGAGCCCGACAUGGGACUUGAUCCCAGGUCUCCAGGAUCACACCCUGGGCUGAAGACGGCAAUAAACCGCUGAGCCAUGGGCUGCCUGAAACUGCUUUAAUAUUUAUGAAAAAGCUAAGAAUGGAAGAGGGAGGUAAUAUUCCUAGGUGAAGAGUUUAUCUAAUGUAUAUUGCUGGGAGAGGAUGGCUAGACCGUGAAGGAGGCCCUUGAAAUAUCUAGUAUGGGCAGGAGAAAAAACAAAUUAAUGAAAAAUAUAAUACAUCAAUUUUGUAACCUGUAGGAAAUGACGGCAAAGACUAAGUUUGAAUUAAAUAACUGAAUAAAUCAGUGGCUUCCAAGAUUUCUUUGAUUGUGUAGCAGUAAAUAAACUAUUUUCCCUUCUCACAUGGUCCAUGAUACACACACUUAGAUAUGUGUUCACACACACAUGCACAGACACACAUACAAUAAAAUUAAACUUUCCCAUAUUAAUAUUUAUAUUUCCUACAUGACCCCUUGAAAAUAUUUCCAUCUUGUUUUAUUUCAUCUUUAAAAAGAACUGAUCAUGACAUACCAAGGAGCUAAUUUCAUAUCUUUGAAAACACUGAAUUAAAUAAAAUAGUGACCUGUCAUUGUGUAUUGGUCCUUACUUCUCAAGGCCCAUGGAUUUUCCAAGAUUUUGGUGCUGAAAGUUUAUGAUAAUUGUUGAGAUAUGAAACAGUUCUGAGACUAUUAAACAAAAUAAUUUAAUAUUUAUUUAUUCUUUUAGAUGCUACACCUAUUUAUAUUGAGAAGUUAUGCUUAUUUUCAGAGACUUUUUACUUUCACUAGUCAAAAUCAAAUCAAUCAUGAUUUUGAGAGUAUAUGAAACUGAAAUUUUAAAACAAAGAAUAUCCAGGAUAAGUUUAGUGUCUCUUCAUGGAACUUAGGCUUGCAUUUAAAGAUAUUCAUGACUAAAACAUCAAAGAUAAUUCACAGUAUUAAUUGAUUAUUAAGUUUCAAUUUGCCUUGUAAUAAUGACAUUGGAAGAAUUAGCCCAAGAUGUAUAGAGCUUUGAAAAUACAAAGAUUUCUUUGUUCAUAUUGAUUCAUGCUGCUAUUUUUAAAUCUACUUUGUUAAGUUGUUGGCUUUUGAUGUAAUUAAACGAGCAGGAUAUUACGUACAAAUCACCACCUGUUUUUGCAAAACUUUUAGGAGCUAAAUUUCUGGAAUUCAGGGGCAUUUGAUUAUAAUGUUUAUGUUAUGUUCUUAAGAAAAUCACAAGUCUAAAUUAAAAUGCUAUAGAAUCAAACAUAUUGUAAAACAAAUGUUUAGGACAAGAAAACAAGACAGGAGUCAAACAUGCAAGUAAAGUAAGAAAUUUCAGCGGAUUAUCUGUUUUUUGAGUGUUGAAUUUGGUAAGUUCUUUAUAGAGUUUGGAUACUAACCCUUUAUCAGAUAUGUCCAUUGACUGAUGAAUGGAUAAAGAAAAUGGAAUAUAAUCCAUUCGUCAAAAAGAAUAAAAUCCUGCCAUUUGCAAGGACAUGAAUAUAGUUAGAGCAUAUUAUGCUAAGUGAAAUAAGUGAGUCAGAGAAAGACAAAUACCAUAUGAUUUCACUCAUAUAUGGAAUUUAAGGAACAAAACAGAUGAACAUAGUGGAAGGAAGAAAAGAAAAUAGAGCUAAACCAUAAGAGAAUCUUAACCAUAGAGAACAAACUGAGAAUUGCUGGGGGAGAUGGUUGAGGGCUAAAUGGGUGGUGGGGAUUAGGAGGGCACUCAUUAUGAUGAGCGCUAGCUUUUAUAUAUAAAUGAUGAAUCACUAAACUCUAACCCUGAAACCAAUAUUACUCUAAAUGUUAACUAACUAGAAUUUAAAUAGAACCUUGAAAGAAAAAAACAAAACAAAACAAAAUGGAAUCUUUGCAAUUGAUAGACCAGAACAUACAAAGUAGACUUUGAUGGAGUUUUCUAUUAAUCCAGAUUUUUUCAUUGCAACUCCCACAUAAUGGAUAAUAAACAUGUAUUUCCUAUAAUAGAUCUAUACUGUAAUACCCUUUGAUUUCCCUGCUCUCAAUUCUGUUACAUGGUAGGGGCUACAGUAAAUCUUCAGUGGUAUUCAUAGAAGCCAUCAACAUUUGUUAUAGAUACUGUACAAAAAAUUCUGCAAUUAUUCAUGAUGUUAGGAAUGGAGGUCGCAAGUAUGGGCUUUGGAUCUUCACUCAACCUCAAAUGGUGGCCCCAACUUUAAUUAACUAUAUAACUCUGAUAGAGCUAUGAACUACCAUUGGACCUUUCAGGCAAAAAUGCAUAGCUUGAACAAAAUCAUGAGGAAACAUCAAUCAAACUCAUAUUUAAUAACAUUCCAAGAGAAUAUUGUACUAUUCUGAAGUGUUAAAGUGACAAAACACAAAGGAAAAUUGCGGAGCAGUUCUGGACUGAAGGAGUUUAUAGCACCAGGACAUCUAAAUUCAUUGAUAUUUCCUCUACUAGAAAGAACAUCUUCAGGUAACUUGAGUAAGAUAAUGAUAUUGUAUCAAUGUUAAUUUCCUAAUUUUAGUUUUACUUUGUUUUUAGGAAAUGAACUCUUAACUAUUUUAAGGUAAUGGGACAUUGUGUCCCUUACUUGCAAAAGCUGAAAGAGAAUGAUAAAACCACGAUGAUAAAUGUUAUCAUUUCGGGAGACUAAAGGAUAAUAUGAGUUCUUUGAUUCAUUUUUGCAAAAGACACCAUGAAACACAGUUAAAUGUUCUCAAAAGGCGACAUAAUUUUACCAAACUCCAAAAGCUCUUAUUAAGGAUUAAAUGAGGUAAUUUGCAUAAAAUUAGGAAUAAUCCUCAAAAAAUGCUAAGCAUUUUUUUGUUUCAUCUAUAUCACAAUAUAACUCUUC